GACGAACGCUGGCGGCGUGCCUAAUACAUGCAAGUUGAGCGCUGAAGGUUGGUACUUGUACCAACUGGAUGAGCAGCGAACGGGUGAGUAACGCGUGGGGAAUCUGCCUUUGAGCGGGGGACAACAUUUGGAAACGAAUGCUAAUACCGCAUAAAAACUUUAUACACAAGUUUUAAGUUUGAAAGAUGCAAUUGCAUCACUCAAAGAUGAUCCCGCGUUGUAUUAGCUAGUUGGUGAGGUAAAGGCUCACCAAGGCGAUGAUACAUAGCCGACCUGAGAGGGUGAUCGGCCACAUUGGGACUGAGACACGGCCCAAACUCCUACGGGAGGCAGCAGUAGGGAAUCUUCGGCAAUGGACGAAAGUCUGACCGAGCAACGCCGCGUGAGUGAAGAAGGUUUUCGGAUCGUAAAACUCUGUUGGUAGAGAAGAACGUUGGUGAGAGUGGAAAGCUCAUCAAGUGACGGUAACUACCCAGAAGGGGACGGCUAACUACGUG
RNAcentral lists this ribosomal RNA (497 nucleotides) under uncultured bacterium. RNAcentral's name for it is "partial 16S ribosomal RNA". It matches the Rfam family "Bacterial small subunit ribosomal RNA", at positions 28 to 507 of the family's 1533-position model. The record is from RNAcentral.